RNAcentral lists this ribosomal RNA (463 nucleotides) under uncultured bacterium. Its description in RNAcentral is "bacterial SSU rRNA". It matches the Rfam family "Bacterial small subunit ribosomal RNA", at positions 28 to 475 of the family's 1533-position model. The record is from RNAcentral.
GACGAACGCUGGCGGCGUGCCUAAUACAUGCAAGUAGAACGCUGAAGGAGGAGCUUGCUCUUCUGGAUGAGUUGCGAACGGGUGAGUAACGCGUAGGUAACCUGCCUGGUAGCGGGGGAUAACUAUUGGAAACGAUAGCUAAUACCGCAUAACAUUGACUAUUGCAUGAUAGUCAAUUGAAAGGUGCAAAUGCACCACUACCAGAUGGACCUGCGUUGUAUUAGCUAGUUGGUGGGGUAACGGCUCACCAAGGCUACGAUACAUAGCCGACCUGAGAGGGUGAUCGGCCACACUGGGACUGAGACACGGCCCAGACUCCUACGGGAGGCAGCAGUAGGGAAUCUUCGGCAAUGGACGGAAGUCUGACCGAGCAACGCCGCGUGAGUGAAGAAGGUUUUCGGAUCGUAAAGCUCUGUUGUAAGAGAAGAACGAGUGUGAGAGUGGAAAGUUCACACUGUGACGG